UUGUGUAAAUCGGCUGAGCUACAACCUGAAAACCGUUUAAUGUUAAAAAGGCAGGGAUGACUGGAUAUUUUGAGUUUUUCAAAUGGAAUGCAUGGAACAGGAAAUACCUCUGCACACUGGUUUUUUAUACACUAACAAGAAGCAUGUUAGGAUAUGUUGUCCCUUGCAAGGACUCUCUUCGAACCAUUUCAAGUGUUUUGUCUUGUCCAAGGAACGAAGAAGAACAUCUAAAUGCUGUCAAACGAAAAAACUGCCAAGAUGAAACACAUUCCUGUUCUUCUUUUGAAUAUCACUGUGUUCUUAAUGACUGGAUGAAUGAUACAAUAGAAGUGUGUGCCCCAUCUUUGUUAAUUGUUGGUUAGUGAAAUUUAAAACACAA
This is a long non-coding RNA of Saccostrea cuccullata (small rock oyster), 379 nucleotides long. RefSeq lists it as uncharacterized. The record is from RefSeq and is a predicted model, not a curated record. The transcript is spliced from 3 exons. Lineage: Eukaryota; Metazoa; Mollusca; Bivalvia; Ostreida; Ostreidae.